RNAcentral lists this ribosomal RNA (427 nucleotides) under uncultured Acidobacterium sp. Its description in RNAcentral is "bacterial SSU rRNA". It matches the Rfam family "Bacterial small subunit ribosomal RNA", at positions 959 to 1385 of the family's 1533-position model. The record is from RNAcentral. Lineage: Bacteria; Pseudomonadati; Acidobacteriota; Terriglobia; Terriglobales; Acidobacteriaceae.
ACGCGAAGAACCUUACCUGGACUCGAAAUCUAGUUGACAGUCUCAGAGAUGAGAUCUUCCCGCAAGGGACGGCUGGAUAGGUGCUGCAUGGCUGUCGUCAGCUCGUGUCGUGAGAUGUUGGGUUAAGUCCCGCAACGAGCGCAACCCUCACCCUUAGUUGCUCGCCCGCAAGGGAAGCACCCUAAGGGAACCGCCUCGGAUAACGGGGAGGAAGGUGGGGAUGACGUCAAGUCCUCAUGGCCUUUAUGCCCAGGGCUACACACGUGCUACAAUGGCCGGUACAAAGCGUCGCCAACCCGCGAGGGGGAGCCAAUCGCAAAAAACCGGUCUCAGUUCGGAUUGCAGGCUGCAACUCGCCUGCAUGAAGCUGGAAUCGCUAGUAAUCGCGUAUCAGAACGACGCGGUGAAUACGUUCCCGGGCCUUGUA